AUUGAACGCUGGCGGCAUGCUUUACACAUGCAAGUCGAACGGUAACAGGCUUUCGGGUGCUGAUGAGUGGCGAACGGGUGCGUAAUGCAUCGGAACGUGCCCAGCGCUGGGGUUUAGCGCAGCGUAAGCUAUGCUAAUAUAGCAUGUGAUCUGAGGAUGAACGCGGGGGACCGAGCAGGAAUGUUUGGCCUCGCGCGUCUGGAUCGGCCGAUGUCGGAUUAGGUAGUUGGUGGGGUAAAGGCCUACCAAGCCGCCGAUCUGUAGCUGGUCUGAGAGGACGAUAAGCGACACUGGAACUGGGACACGGACAAGACGCCUAAGGGAGGCAGCAGUGGGGAAUGUGGGACAAUAGGCGCAAGCAUGAUACAGCAAUGCCGCGUGCGGGAAGAAGGCCUUCGGGUUGUAAAGAGCUUUUGUAGGGAACGAAAAGCCUCUGGCUAAUACCAAGCGCUAGUGACGGUACCGUAAGAAGAAGCACCGGCUAACUACGUG
Molecule: ribosomal RNA, 492 nt
Filed under: uncultured bacterium
Lineage: Bacteria
Description: partial 16S ribosomal RNA
Rfam family: Bacterial small subunit ribosomal RNA
Source: RNAcentral